RNAcentral lists this ribosomal RNA (312 nucleotides) under uncultured Pseudomonas sp. RNAcentral describes it as "bacterial SSU rRNA". It matches the Rfam family "Bacterial small subunit ribosomal RNA", at positions 1071 to 1382 of the family's 1533-position model. The record is from RNAcentral. Lineage: Bacteria; Pseudomonadati; Pseudomonadota; Gammaproteobacteria; Pseudomonadales; Pseudomonadaceae.
GAUGUUGGGUUAAGUCCCGUAACGAGCGCAACCCUUGUCCUUAGUUACCAGCACGUUAUGGUGGGCACUCUAAGGAGACUGCCGGUGACAAACCGGAGGAAGGUGGGGAUGACGUCAAGUCAUCAUGGCCCUUACGGCCUGGGCUACACACGUGCUACAAUGGUCGGUACAAAGGGUUGCCAAGCCGCGAGGUGGAGCUAAUCCCAUAAAACCGAUCGUAGUCCGGAUCGCAGUCUGCAACUCGACUGCGUGAAGUCGGAAUCGCUAGUAAUCGUGAAUCAGAAUGUCACGGUGAAUACGUUCCCGGGCCUU